GAUGAACGCUGGCGGCGUGCCUAAUACAUGCAAGUCGAGCGAACAGACGAGGAGCUUGCUCCUCUGACGUUAGCGGCGGACGGGUGAGUAACACGUGGAUAACCUACCUAUAAGACUGGGAUAACUUCGGGAAACCGGAGCUAAUACCGGAUAAUAUAUUGAACCGCAUGGUUCAAUAGUGAAAGACGGUUUUGCUGUCACUUAUAGAUGGAUCCGCGCCGCAUUAGCUAGUUGGUAAGGUAACGGCUUACCAAGGCGACGAUGUGUAGCCGACCUGAGAGGGUGAUCGGCCACACUGGAACUGAGACACGGUCCAGACUCCUACGGGAGGCAGCAGUAGGGAAUCUUCCGCAAUGGGCGAAAGCCCGACGGAGCAACGCCGCGUGAGUGAUGAAGGUCUUCGGAUCGUAAAACUCUGUUAUUAGGGAAGAACAAAUGUGUAAGUAACUAUGCACGUCUUGACGGUACCUAAUCAGAAAGCCACGGCUAACUACGUG
This 497-nucleotide ribosomal RNA is filed under the name uncultured bacterium. RNAcentral describes it as "partial 16S ribosomal RNA". It matches the Rfam family "Bacterial small subunit ribosomal RNA", at positions 28 to 507 of the family's 1533-position model. The record is from RNAcentral.